This is a long non-coding RNA of Syngnathus typhle (broad-nosed pipefish), 1293 nucleotides long. RefSeq lists it as uncharacterized. The transcript is spliced from 3 exons. The record is from RefSeq and is a predicted model, not a curated record. NCBI's taxonomy places the organism in Eukaryota, Metazoa, Chordata, Actinopteri, Syngnathiformes, Syngnathidae.
AAAGAUGCGUCUUCUCUGACCUCCACCUCCUUUUUGCUGAAGCAAGAAAGCGCCAGUUGGGACCCAAAAGACAACAAGAUAGUCCAGGAGACCAGGAAAAUGGCGAACACACUGUACCAUAUGACCCAAUACCUGAGGAAUAGAGGCCCAAUACUGAACAAAGAAGCGUUUGUGUGUGCAGCCAAAGAUGUGAUGACAAGCGGCCAAUCGGUGACCAAGUUUAUUCAAGUCAUAGCUAACCACUGCCUGGAUGCACAGUGUGCGCUGGACCUUUCCCUUAUAGUGGAGCAGAUUCUCACCAUCACCAACCAGCUUAGCAUCCUUUCCAGGUAUGAUUAAUCAAACAGAAAAAAGUGAAUGCAAUGAGAUCUUCUUAUGUACUGCAGUGUCAAUUCUGUAACACCCGGCUGUAAAUCAUCUGAUGAGAUCCUGGUGAAGAACACACAGAACCUCCUCCAUACAGUCCUUAAAGGGGUUCAUGCAGCAGAGACCUCCUGCAUCACAGGUUUAAAGCAGCCGGAGCCCAACUCAGAUGGAGCCGAAGCGACUGCCUUGUGUUUCCAAUGGAAGAAGAACCUGCAGAUCCACCGAGCCCAGCAGACCUCCAACCUCAAAACGGAUGAGCUGGGUUUGAGGAGGAUUUCAUCACAAUCAGUCGUACCAAGUCUGGCGUCUCCAGUACAAGACGGCUCCAACUUGACACUUCAAUUAAGAGGUUACAAUAAUAGAUCACAAUAUUUGCUGUAAGGAGAUCACCCUUAGCUUUGACAAUGUCCGAGAGGUAUUUAAUAUUGCUGUGUAGUGUCUUGCAUAACUUGUGUAGCUGCAGUAAAAACGAUUCAUUCAAUGCAAUUUUAGGUCAGGUUGUAAACAUUUAAUUCACAUCAAGAUAUGUACAGUGGACUGUAUUUAAAAGGUGAUUAAAUGUACACAGAAAACAAAGCUCACCACAAAUAGACAUACAAUAAACAUGUAUUUAAAAGGCUGCAAAAACAAUACAAAUAAAAGCUCCAAAAUGGCUUAAAAUACUCAUACAAGCUCAUUUUAAGGCAGUGCUUCUCAAUUAUUUUCUGUUACGCCCCCCCCUAGCAAGAAGAAAACUAUUCGCGCCCCCCCUCCCCACCGUGACUAUCCUAACUUGUCUUGUAAGUCGUAAAAUGUUGCACUGUCGCAAACGUGACAGAAGUAACAAUGAGAGCGCCACUGCCCCCUGCUGUAGUAAACGCGCAAUUACACUUUAUUCUAGUACUGCCAAAAAAAAAGCCUGUUCCCCAGGGUCACACGCGCCCCCCC